Molecule: long non-coding RNA, 232 nt
Organism: Gambusia affinis (western mosquitofish)
Lineage: Eukaryota; Metazoa; Chordata; Actinopteri; Cyprinodontiformes; Poeciliidae
Exons: 3
Source: RefSeq, a predicted model, not a curated record
GGAGCUGUAAUCCUUUGAACAAUGUUACCAUGGAAACCAUAAGAGCAUCUGUCAAAUGUAAAUAUUAUGACAAAGACAAUCUGAAGAGGCGGCUCAAAGAAAUUGACUGAAAUGGAGAAACUUUGCCAGGAAGAGAAGGCAUCACUGGAAGAGAACCAAACCUGCACAAACCCAGGAGAACAUGAUGAUGAAGCCUCAGUUGGUCCCAGUGAUGGACAGCAGGUUCAGCCCA